This 29-nucleotide non-coding RNA is filed under the name Rattus norvegicus (Norway rat). Lineage: Eukaryota; Metazoa; Chordata; Mammalia; Rodentia; Muridae. The record is from RNAcentral.
UGACUUUUCAUUUUGUUGCCUGUUAAGUC